CAGCAGCCGCGGUAAUACGGAGGGUGCAAGCGUUAAUCGGAAUUACUGGGCGUAAAGCGCACGCAGGCGGUCUGACAAGUCAGAUGUGAAAUCCCCGGGCUUAACCUGGGAACUGCAUUUGAAACUGUCAGGCUGGAGUCUUGUAGAGGGGGGUGGAAUUCCAGGUGUAGCGGUGAAAUGUGUAGAGAUCUGGAGGAAUACCGGUGGCGAAGGCGGCCCCCUGGACAAAGACUGACGCUCAGGUGCGAAAGCGUGGGGAGCAAACAGGAUUAGAUACCCCUGUAGUCCCUGUCUCUUAUAC
RNAcentral lists this ribosomal RNA (301 nucleotides) under uncultured bacterium. RNAcentral describes it as "partial 16S ribosomal RNA". It matches the Rfam family "Bacterial small subunit ribosomal RNA", at positions 509 to 807 of the family's 1533-position model. The record is from RNAcentral.